Molecule: ribosomal RNA, 274 nt
Filed under: uncultured bacterium
Lineage: Bacteria
Description: partial 16S ribosomal RNA
Rfam family: Bacterial small subunit ribosomal RNA
Source: RNAcentral
AUACGGGGGGAGCGAACGUUGUUCGGAAUCACUGGGCGUAAAGCGCACGUAGGCGGCUUGUCAAGUCAGAUGUGAAAGCCCACGGCUCAACCGUGGAAGUGCAUUUGAAACUGGCAGGAUAGAAUAUGGGAGAGGGUUGUAGAAUACCAGGUGUAGAGGUGAAAUUCGUAGAGAUCUGGUAGAAUACCGGUGGCGAAGGCGGCAACCUGGACCAAUAUUGACGCUGAGGUGCGAAAGCGUGGGGAGCGAACAGGAUUAGAAACCCGAGUAGUCC